Mercurialis annua (annual mercury) is the source of this 641-nucleotide long non-coding RNA. RefSeq lists it as uncharacterized. The transcript has 3 exons. The record is from RefSeq and is a predicted model, not a curated record. Lineage: Eukaryota; Viridiplantae; Streptophyta; Magnoliopsida; Malpighiales; Euphorbiaceae.
AUUGCCAAGGCUUCUAAAGAAGUCAAUAUUGCUGAAGUUGGAGCUGACAUUGAACUGUUAUCAAAGAACUGAAUCUCUUUAUCAUUGUUGAGUUGAUUGGGGAUCAUUACAUGAAUGUAACGGCGGAGGAAAAAUUGAUCAUGAUUUAGCCUAAUUUAUUUACAAAUAGUGAGCAACAGAAACUGCCGAUUUACUUUAGUUACCGUGUUAAAUUUACAAAAUGCACUGAGUCAUGGUUAUGUCUUGUUGAUAUUCUAAAUAAGCUUAAAGUGGACUUUUUUGUUCCAGACAUUUUCAGAAAAGGUACAUAGUUCCUUCGGAAAGAAAAAGAUGGGUUUAAUUUAUAUGAAUCCUACUCCGGCACCUGUGGAUGCUUUUCAGACAUUUGAUGGCAACUGACUUUGUUUGUGAGAGGCCUUUCGGUUGUGCACUUCUUUAUGAAAGAGGGGUUACGAGAGGCAAUUUGAAGAACAGAGAAGGAAGCAGUUCUUCAAUAAUUUUGAUGGAAUAUUUUCCGUUUUCUAGUUUUUGUGAAUAUUUUUGUUCGUGAUGUAAUGGAUGAAAUAUUUUUGUGAUGUAAUAGAUGAAUGUAGUAUUUUCUUGAUGUAAUGGAUGGAAUAUUUUCCGUUAUGUGAUGUAAU